UACAUGGCUUUUAUUGAAGCCACACAUCUAUCAUAAAUGGUUUAAU
Non-coding RNA from Xenopus tropicalis (tropical clawed frog), 46 nucleotides. Lineage: Eukaryota; Metazoa; Chordata; Amphibia; Anura; Pipidae. The record is from Rfam.